AAUAAUAACUAUACACAUUAUUUGGCAUCAAUGUAACUCCAAAUGUUAGUCCGGAGAAAGAUACAAAGUGGCACAUCUUUGUUAUUAAAUUGAUAUCUGAUUGUAAAAUUUGAAAUGCAUUUUUAUAUAGGUUUUCUAAUGUUGAAGCAAAUUUUGUAAUCAGUCAAAAGUGACAUAAGUGUUAGGUUUUGAUAGGAUGUGACACAUGCUAGCCAUUCAAUGCAAGUUCCUCCGGAAGAGCCCUCUCCUGACUUCCUGCACCAACAAAGUUCUAACGCCAGA
This 282-nucleotide long non-coding RNA is filed under the name Elaeis guineensis (African oil palm). Its description in RNAcentral is "long non-coding RNA (EGUI_LNC009940)". Lineage: Eukaryota; Viridiplantae; Streptophyta; Magnoliopsida; Arecales; Arecaceae. The record is from RNAcentral.